Molecule: ribosomal RNA, 306 nt
Filed under: uncultured bacterium
Lineage: Bacteria
Description: partial 16S ribosomal RNA
Rfam family: Bacterial small subunit ribosomal RNA
Source: RNAcentral
GACAGCAGCAGCCACGGGAAUACGAAGGGUGCAAGCGUUACUCGGAAUUACUGGGCGUAAAGCGUGCGUAGGUGGUGGUUUAAGUCCGUUGUGAAAGCCCUGGGCUCAACCUGGGAAUUGCAGUGGAUACUGGGUCACUAGAGUGUGGUAGAGGAUAGUGGAAUUUCCGGUGUAGCAGUGAAAUGCGUAGAGAUCGGAAGGAACAUCUGUGGCGAAGGCGACUAUCUGGGCCAACACUGACACUGAGGCACGAAAGCGUGGGGAGCAAACAGGAUUAGAUACCCCCGUAGUCCCUGUCUCUUAUAC